Molecule: microRNA precursor, 68 nt
Filed under: Mustela putorius furo (domestic ferret)
Lineage: Eukaryota; Metazoa; Chordata; Mammalia; Carnivora; Mustelidae
Description: miRNA (ENSMPUG00000020745.1)
Source: RNAcentral
GAGGGCGGGAGGGCAGGAGGACGCGGUUUCCUGGAGAUCCUCACUCCUCCCCUGCCGUCCUCCCCUUC